Molecule: ribosomal RNA, 499 nt
Filed under: uncultured Glomeromycotina
Lineage: Eukaryota; Fungi; Glomeromycota
Description: partial small subunit ribosomal RNA
Rfam family: Eukaryotic small subunit ribosomal RNA
Source: RNAcentral
CCAAUAGCGUAUAUUAAAGUUGUUGCAGUUAAAAAGCUCGUAGUUGAAUUUCGGGAUCAAAUUGUUGGUCGUGCUUCGGUACGCACUGGCAUUAUUGGUUUCUCCCUUCUGACGAACCAUGAUGUCAUUUAUUUGGUGUCGUGGGGAAUCAGGACUGUUACUUUGAAAAAAUUAGAGUGUUUAAAGCAGGCUCACGCUUGAAUACAUUAGCAUGGAAUAAUGAAAUAGGACGUUUGAUUCUAUUUUGUUGGUUUCUAGGAUCGACGUAAUGAUUAAUAGGGAUAGUUGGGGGCAUUAGUAUUCAAUUGUCAGAGGUGAAAUUCUUGGAUUUAUUGAAGACUAACUACUGCGAAAGCAUUUGCCAAGGAUGUUUUCAUUAAUCAAGAACGAAAGUUAGGGGAUCGAAGACGAUCAGAUACCGUCGUAGUCUUAACCAUAAACUAUGCCGACUAGGGAUCGGAUGAUGUUAAUUUUUUAAUGACUCAUUCGGCGCCUUACG